CUUUGACCUGAGAGUACAAUGUCUCCUGCUGGCCAUUGUCCUGCACUGAGACUGAGGAAGCUUCAGGCCGCCUCUGGAGGAAGGCUAAGUCCUCAUAAUGAAGUUCUUCCUCUGUUUCAUUGGCUUGAACAGCAACCUCCUGGAGAUACACAAAGACUGAGAGUGAAGAUGGAUCUGAAACAGACAUGAGAGGACGACCAUUAAUAACAUCAGACCAGGUUUAGCUCUGCACUAAAUAUAAAGAACUAGUUUAGAAAUUCAUCUGAAGGUUUAAAUAAAACCUCAUUAUUAUUCCUUAAAUUAAGUUUAUUGUUUUAAAUUCUGAUACUCACCAAACAGAAAGAACCAGGCAGAUUAACAAAAUGACUCCAACUACAAUUGCGACCAAGAAAAUAAAUCCUUUUGCCAAAUCACAGAAAAACACAGUUUAACAAAUGUCAAAAACAUGAGCGU
Molecule: long non-coding RNA, 453 nt
Organism: Girardinichthys multiradiatus
Lineage: Eukaryota; Metazoa; Chordata; Actinopteri; Cyprinodontiformes; Goodeidae
Exons: 2
Source: RefSeq, a predicted model, not a curated record